Molecule: ribosomal RNA, 506 nt
Filed under: uncultured bacterium
Lineage: Bacteria
Description: partial 16S ribosomal RNA
Rfam family: Bacterial small subunit ribosomal RNA
Source: RNAcentral
AGUGAACGCUGGCGGUAGGCCUAACACAUGCAAGUCGAACGGCAGCACAGGAGAGCUUGCUCUCUGGGUGGCGAGUGGCGGACGGGUGAGGAAUACAUCGGAAUCUACUCUGUCGUGGGGGAUAACGUAGGGAAACUUACGCUAAUACCGCAUACGACCUACGGGUGAAAGCAGGGGAUCUUCGGACCUUGCGCGAUUGAAUGCGCCGAUGUCGGAUUAGCAAGUUGGCGGGGUAAAGGCCCACCAAGGCGACGAUCCGUAGCUGGUCUGAGAGGAUGAUCAGCCACACUGGAACUGAGACACGGUCCAGACUCCUACGGGAGGCAGCAGUGGGGAAUAUUGGACAAUGGGCGCAAGCCUGAUCCAGCCAUACCGCGUGGGUGAAGAAGGCCUUCGGGUUGUAAAGCCCUUUUGUUGGGAAAGAAAUCCAGCUGGCUAAUACCCGGUUGGGAUGACGGUACCCAAAGAAUAAGCACCGGCUAACUUCGUGCCAGCCGCCGCCGUAA